Molecule: long non-coding RNA, 2023 nt
Organism: Triticum dicoccoides
Lineage: Eukaryota; Viridiplantae; Streptophyta; Magnoliopsida; Poales; Poaceae
Exons: 3
Source: RefSeq, a predicted model, not a curated record
CGUCAUGAUGUAGUUGACGGUGUGGCUGAGGCAGAAGGUGUAACUAAAGAUGAUGCAGGCUUCUGCUGCAGAUCAGAAAGGUUGGUCGUUCCCGGGGCUGAUCAGACACUAGAACGUCACGAAAGCGCUGGCCACGAAUUGUCGGAAUCUCAUGCUGUCCCUGAAAAAAUACAAUGUUUAGGUAGAAUAUGUAUGCUGAAGAUUGGAUACACUCAGGAGUAUAAAGAGCACACAAUCAAUGAAAUGACACUUCUAACCCACCAGGAUAUACACCACAAGAAGAACACGGUAAUAACAUCAGGUGAUGGAAACUAACUUAUCACAUUAGGCCAUAGAAGCAGCAGGAUAAAUAAUUGGACAUCCCAACUUGCAAUGAUAAAUCACAUAAAGGGGACAUGAUAGCACUUAGCAGCAUGAUAUCUUGCAGUAAAAAUGCUGCAUGUGAACUGUAAUCAACAUCAGCAGUACUACAGAAUUGAAAGUUCAGACUUGAGUACUAGAGUAUCAGGCAUGCAUAAGAAGAUAGAUUUGUUAAAAGAACCGAUCCAACAGCAGCUAGGGCGAUGUUUUUAACUCUGCAGCUAUCUAGCGCCACUUGAGACUAGUAGGAAAUGAAAAAUGACAAGAAAAAAUAACCAUAGGAAGUUGAAGCUGAUGAAAAAUUCUUUGUCACAAAAGAACAGGGGGAUGUUAGCUUGCUACAGACUGACAUAACAAAAAAACCUGCGUUGAAAAAAUGAACUGACAAGAAGAUAGAGAUAUUGCUACUGGUGGAAAAAUAGACUUUACUGUGGUCUGGUGAACCAUAAAUUGCAUAGGAUAAAGCACAUGGAAAAUAGGCAUUCCAAAUACUAGUCGAGGCUGCCGAGACCUACCUCACGGUGCUGCUUGAGGACACCAACCUCUGCGCCAUCCACGCCAAGCACAUCACCAUCAUGCCCAAGGACAUCCAGCUCGCCCGCCACAUCCGUGGUGAGAGCAUAGGCUGCAAUCCAUGCAUCGCCUGUUAGGUCCUUCUUACCAGUGGAAAUGUGUGUGCUACUAGUGUCUUGGAGAGUUUUUUUUGUAGUUCUUUUUACCGUAUCGUUCUCAUCAGCAAUUGAAAAAUAUGUUGCCUGUCUGGUCUCUGACAUGUGCUUUCUCAUUGCCUGUUUUUUCUCCCUUUUACGUGACACUGUCCUCCAAUCCCAACUUGUGAAAAUCUAGCCUGUCCAACAUCGUUCUGAUUUUUAGCACUCUUACACAUUAUCUCUUUCCUGCAUCCGAACCUGAACGAACAACAUGUCAGUAUGCUCGUCUUCAGUUCCGUGUAUCGACCAAUUGCAUAAUAGUGGCAGUAUGUUCGAUGUUUAGUACGCAGAUUCAGUGUCGUGCAAUAUUCCCACUGUCUGUUUUUCUCACCAAAUGGUUCCUGGCUCGUUAUAUUUCCUACCGGUUUGAGCUAAAUCGCCCUGAUUCUAGAUUAAAGUAUCCCUUGGCCGUGUCAAAUUUCGUAUUCAGUAAUCUAGUUUGCUACCUCUGAACCUGAGUGAACAUAUGUUAAUAUGCUCCCUCAGUUCCGUGCUAUAUAACCGUACCAGUAUGUUUGAUAUCCACUGCACAGAUUCUUGGAAGGGCCUCCUGAUGAUGUACCAAUAUGUUCAUGCUUGUCCUCCUGAUCCUCCCAGCUGGCACUGUGCCUCCAGUUUUUGUUUGGAUGGCUGAUGCAGUUUUGCUCACUGCUGUAUGCUCGAUCAUGGGUCACGGACUAUUUUGUUUCAUGAUUAUAGCAUCCUGAUGGGCGCUGAACUAAGAUAGUUUCAGUUAUGUUUUUGUGCUGCAACAAUGAGCAUGAUCUAGUCCACAGGGAUCUUAUAGGAUUAAAUAUGUUACUCCCUCCGUUCACUUUUAUAAGUCGUUUCAGACAAGUGAAAUUGAGCUGUUUUGCACAAUGUCGGAAACGUCUACAAAGCCUUAUAAAAGUGAACAGAGGGACUACUGUAUUUUACUCCCUCCGUCCGGAAAUACUUGUCAUCAAAAUGGA